UACGUAGGUGGCAAGCGUUGUCCGGAAUUAUUGGGCGUAAAGCGCGCGUAGGCGGUUUCUUAAGUCUGAUGUGAAAGCCCACGGCUCAACCGUGGAGGGUCAUUGGAAACUGGGAAACUUGAGUGCAGAAGAGGAAAGUGGAAUUCCAUGUGUAGCGGUGAAAUGCGCAGAGAUAUGGAGGAACACCAGUGGCGAAGGCGACUUUCUGGUCUGUAACUGACGCUGAUGUGCGAAAGCGUGGGGAUCAAACAGG
RNAcentral lists this ribosomal RNA (253 nucleotides) under uncultured bacterium. RNAcentral describes it as "partial 16S ribosomal RNA". It matches the Rfam family "Bacterial small subunit ribosomal RNA", at positions 524 to 776 of the family's 1533-position model. The record is from RNAcentral.